This 1335-nucleotide long non-coding RNA is filed under the name Phasianus colchicus (ring-necked pheasant). RNAcentral describes it as "lncRNA (ENSPCLG00000001549.1)". The record is from RNAcentral. Lineage: Eukaryota; Metazoa; Chordata; Aves; Galliformes; Phasianidae.
AAUUAACAACUCUCGUAAAUCUGUAUUUGAUAACUUUACUCCAACACCAAAUAUUGUCCUCAACACUUCUCUAUGUGUGUUACUAUGUGUACAAUCAAUGAAUGUAUAGAUGUCAUCCUUAUGAGGCAUACCAGAGAGCUUAACUACAUAAUUAUUACACCAAAACAGAAAAGAUAGGAGGACUUACCCGUAUCCUGGGCUUACUUAUGAAACUCCAGUAGAGUGGAUCUCCAGAAGAGAUCCUUCCCCACUGGUAGUCAGCUCUUAAAUGGGUCUAGAGAGGUGCAGCCAGGCUUCACCCCUUCCUGCAGCACAGGUGAAUUGCUUUCACCUGUGCUCCCGUGGCUGACUCAUUGCUCGCCUCAGGUGAUCAAUCAGAGGUUCAGGCCGUGAUUCAGCAGUUCUCAUAUAGUAUCCAAGAUACACACCUACUUAUGAAGAACAGUGCAUUGUAAUACAGAGGCAAUGAAAGAUGGGUCAAACCUAGUGGAAGCUAAGCCAAGGGAAGUAGUAAACUAUUCCCUGCUUCCCAGUGGUCUUGCGUGCAGGAACUUAAUGAAGCUCGAUCUUCUGAUCACUUCCAAUACAGGGAGAUCGCUGACAAUCUGGGAAAGCUGGGCAGAAGUUUGAGCUCUUGCUUCGGGAGUGAAUGGCCAAAGUCCCUGCGUGCCUCCAAGAAUUUGCCUCCAUGCAGCUUUCUGAUCUCCAGGAUCUACGCCCACUCCCAGGAUCUUUUCUUCAAACAGGAUCUUCACCUUCUUUCCAGGUCCCUUUUUUUCCAACACUUCUUUUUGGGAAGCCUUCUUAUUGGCCUCCUCUUUCUUCUAGCAUCCCAAACCUCUGAUUUUUGCAAUCUAAAUAGUCUAAUGCAGAAGCAUGACACAUGACCAGCCUCCUCACUUCUUCGCUCUGUCUCAGGCCUGUUUAUUUAUUGGAGAAUUUGGGACAAUAAUUGGAAGAUCUAUGAUGUGUCACUAUUUUUCAGUCUAAAUGUUAUCAAAACUUACAACCACAGUGUAACAAUAGUAGCUAGCAAGUAGCAGGCUUCUGCUUAAGAGCCUGAAAGUUCAAUUUCAGACAUUCCCCCUACACACACAAUUAUCUGUCAAAUGCUUACAUUCAAAGUUUAACCUCUUUUUUCACAUAAGAUACAGAAAAAACUGUCAGCCAUGUUGAGACAAACUGAACUCUGCAGAUCAUUUCCACAUAUAAGCCAUGUAUCCCAAGAGACCAGCAUGAUAACUGGCUUAGGUAAUGUGUCAUCCUCUACUCUUAGUUAACUCCCCGCACGUGCUCUGGAAUCAGUUCAAAAUAAAGAAAAAUGACCUUAAUGCA